GUAGUAAGCAGAGUACAAAAACAAGUUAGCAAAACAGGAAGAAAAAAAACCUACUACUGGCAGAAUUGUUACUAAAGGGAGACAAUGAAGCAUUUUAAGGAACUUACCUUUCUCAUUUUUGUGCAUCAUUUCUAUGACCGUGGAGGGACUACAGCUGUCCUCAGUCAAGACAUUCAAAACCAUCAACGCUGCACAUAUUCAGCUUCAAAUAUACUGGAGAAUUUGGCUAAAGAGGGAUUCAAUUUCCGUGAAGAAAGUUGGGUUUUAAAUAAUACUGUUAUAGCCAUGACAUCAUAUCCUAAUAUCACAGAAUUUGAAAAGAGCACAGUCGAAAUCUCAUCUAAGGGGGAAAUUACCCUCUUUCAGCCUAUGAACAUCAACUACAUUGUCACAUGUAAAGACUUAAAUGGAAAUCCAUCGGAGAAAAGAAAGGAGUUUUCUGUUCAAGAAUGUCGUCGUGGAGACGUCCCUAAGCCCUGGAUAAUUCCCGCAAUGAACACAAUGACGUUCACUUAGAGGAUUGGUAAGAACACAGUGCAGUAACAUAGUCAAGCCAAAAGAACAAGCUGCAGACUAUACCAUCCUAGAGCAAUCACCUCACUAAACAAAUUCAAGCCUAAUGGGAAUUUGAUGAAAAACAGUCUUUGAAAAUACAGCAGUUUUGCUGCUCAUCGAUCAUUUCCCUGCGAUGCAAAGCACUAUAUUUUAUGUUGAAUCCUGGGAAAAUGAGCAACAAAAGUCCUGUACAUAUCAAGGGAGAUGCUCUUUGUUGGGAAUGACAACUGCACAGUAAAGCACUGCAUGACCUAGAGCUAUAUCUAACACUGCACUUAUCAAAAGAGUAGGAGCUUCGCAUGUUCUGACCAAAUUCCUAGUUGGGCACUCUCUGUCUGGUAAUCUAAUAAUUUGCCACUUUAAUUGGCUGCAUAAAUCCUUCCCUCUCUUCUCUGGUGAUGUGCAGUGAGCAUUCUGGCACAAAAUGGCUGCCAUGCAUCAUCCAGAUGGGAGAUACACAUCUGUGGUGGGUGGGAUGAUUUUUUGCCGCUCUUACUGUGAGGGUAUGUGAAUGCAAUCCAUUUUUUGUAUUGCAGUCUGUGUGCUCAGCGCCCUUGCUGUAAUCAUAGGAGCAGUAAUCAUAGGAGUAGUAAUCUGCAAGAGAAGGGGGCAAAGGAAGCGUUUCUCAGAUGAUCCUGAGAAUGCCAUAAAUCUGAAAACACUGAUCCGGAACUGUGAGCGAGACCAGGAUCUGGAACAGAAACGUGUGCAAGACCAGGGUCUCCACCUGAACUCUGAGCAAGACCAGGACCAGGAUCAGGACCAGGACCAAGACCAGGGUCUCCACCUGAACUCUGAGCAAGACCAGGACCAGGACCAGGACCAGGACCAAGACCAGGACCAGGACCAGGACCUUUCCACCUAGUGAGUAGUCCUCUUUUUUUUUAGACAGGAAGUUUCCAGAAGAACUAAUUUGUCCCAGACCCUGUCUCCUUCAUUUUUCUGUUAAUCCCCUCAUGCUACUGACUAUGUUGGCAACAAACUGAACUCUUUCCAAUACCUUAUUUUUAUUCCUUAAAAAAAAAGAAAAAAAAGAAUUUUAGUUAGUUUUUUUGUACCAUAUUUAUUAUCGACUCCCGUGUGCAGCUGAGGAAACACCCUGACCCCCAGCAGCUGGAAUGAGGCGCAUGCUGCGAUCCGCCCUGCUGAGUCCUGACCCCCACCCUUGAAGCGGCAGCCCAAUUAUCGCCGCUUCCCCAUGCGUUGGUCAUACUGCAUGGGGACCUGCAUGGAAUCAGUCCAGCGCCUUGACCGUGGGCCACAGCAGCGCCCAAUCACUUAUUUUAUACUUCCUUCUUCCUUUUAUUUCCAUUGGGGGAGGUGGAGACGGAGGAAUCGCCAAUUAAACAUGAAUUAGGCAAAUAGAAUGUACUUGCUCUUUCAAACGUCAGUUUAAGGCAACGUCAGUUACAGACUUGGCAGAUGGGGAGCCCUGGAUUGACAGGUUGAUCAAUUAUAUGUCACAUUUCCUGAAAAAAUACUUCCGCAAAGGAUGUGGUCAUGUGUUGAUCAAGAGAUAUUUGGGAGCCUCCUACUUCCUGGCUUCUGACUCCUAGAAGUAACAUUUAGCAGAUUGGAAGAUGGCGGACCUCAAUCGAUUUCUGGGUCAGGCAAGGGGCAAGAAGACGGGAGGUCAAAAAUAGACGAUUGGAAGGAGCCCAGUGUCUUGCUAUUGGCUGAAUGGCAGUAGUUUAUCAUGCUCCUAGCUGUAUGGCAACAACUUCUCCUGCUUUUGGCUGAAUGACAGCAUCCCAUCUCUCUAAUGGAUGUCUGGCCAUGUUCUGUCUCCCCAAACAGUUCUACGGGUCUUUCAUUUACACUACCAGAACAGCUUCAGGCCCCAUUUUAAUUCAGUUAAAGAGGCUUUUAUUGGCAUGAAAUUCACUGAGUAAAUAUUGCUGGAGUGCAAUUUUACCCUCCCCCUCUCCCCUCACUUUCUCUGUCUCUGUCUUCUCUGCAGGCUACGAGAAGUUCAGGCAAGGAGUCGGCGUGGAGUCUCUCCAGUCUGAAAAAAAGAACUAAAAUAUAUAUUAAAAAAAAAUAUAUAUAUAUAUAUUUUUUUUUUUUAAAUAAAUAUAUAUUAUAAAAAUAAAAAUACAUAUUUUUUCUAAUAAGAAUGAUAUAUAUAUAUUUUUUUAUAUUUAUUUUUUUUUUCUAAUAAGAAUGAUAUAUAUAUAUAUAUAUAUAUAUAUAUAUAUAUAUAUAUUAAUGACUGGAUAAAUGUUUUACAUUUUUUAUCAAUGUGGAAACCACAGUGGGAAUGUGACUUCAAAUAUAAUCAUCUCAUUACUUAAGUCACUACUACACCAGGCGCAUUCACAUUUUCACCAGCGUCUGGCUAAUGAUCACAUGGUUUCUUGGGUUGUUUAAAAAAAAAAAGAUGUCUCUGUGCAAGGGACAUACUUGUCUUUUACUGCUUUGCUAUUUACUUCAUACCACAGCUUGUUUAGAUAUGUAUUGUUAAGAAUAAAAUGUAUCCUUUCUGAAA
RNA transcript from Conger conger (European conger), 3043 nucleotides. RefSeq lists it as uncharacterized. The record is from RefSeq and is a predicted model, not a curated record. Lineage: Eukaryota; Metazoa; Chordata; Actinopteri; Anguilliformes; Congridae. The transcript has 7 exons.